Molecule: ribosomal RNA, 253 nt
Filed under: uncultured bacterium
Lineage: Bacteria
Description: partial 16S ribosomal RNA
Rfam family: Bacterial small subunit ribosomal RNA
Source: RNAcentral
UACGAAGGGGGCUAGCGUUGUUCGGAAUUACUGGGCGUAAAGCGCACGUAGGCGGAUACUUAAGUUAGGGGUGAAAUCCCGGGGCUCAACCCCGGAACUGCCUUUGAUGCUGGGUAUCUGGAGUCCGAGAGAGGUGAGUGGAAUUCCGAGUGUAGAGGUGAAAUUCGUAGAUAUUCGGAGGAACACCAGUGGCGAAGGCGGCUCACUGGCUCGGUACUGACGCUGAGGUGCGAAAGCGUGGGGAGCAAACAGG